UUUUAUGGAGAGUUUGAUCCUGGCUCAGGAUGAACGCUGGCGGCGUGCCUAAUACAUGCAAGUCGAGCGAACGGACGAGAAGCUUGCUUCUCUGAUGUUAGCGGCGGACGGGUGAGUAACACGUGGAUAACCUACCUAUAAGACUGGGAUAACUUCGGGAAACCGGAGCUAAUACCGGAUAAUAUUUUGAACCGCAUGGUUCAAAAGUAAAAGACGGUCUUGCUGUCACUUAUAGAUGGAUCCGCGCUGCAUUAGCUAGUUGGUAAGGUAACGGCUUACCAAGGCAACGAUGCAUAGCCGACCUGAGAGGGUGAUCGGCCACACUGGAACUGAGACACGGUCCAGACUCCUACGGGAGGCAGCAGUAGGGAAUCUUC
Molecule: ribosomal RNA, 377 nt
Filed under: Staphylococcus aureus
Lineage: Bacteria; Bacillati; Bacillota; Bacilli; Caryophanales; Staphylococcaceae
Description: bacterial SSU rRNA
Rfam family: Bacterial small subunit ribosomal RNA
Source: RNAcentral